This 194-nucleotide unclassified non-coding RNA is filed under the name uncultured Cortinarius. RNAcentral describes it as "sequence contains ITS2". Lineage: Eukaryota; Fungi; Basidiomycota; Agaricomycetes; Agaricales; Cortinariaceae. The record is from RNAcentral.
AUAUAUAUCAACCUUCUCUCUUGUAGUGAGUGGUUUGGAUGUGGGGGUUUGCUGGCCUCUUUAAAAAAAAAGGGAUCAGCUCUCCUGAAAUGCAUUAGCAGAACAACCCUGUUCAUUGGUGUGAUAACUAUCUGCGCCAUUGAAUGUGAAAGGCAGUUCAGCUUUCUAACGGUCCUUGGACAAAUUCAUUAUUA